Molecule: long non-coding RNA, 360 nt
Organism: Neofelis nebulosa (Clouded leopard)
Lineage: Eukaryota; Metazoa; Chordata; Mammalia; Carnivora; Felidae
Exons: 2
Source: RefSeq, a predicted model, not a curated record
CUGCAGGUCCACUCAAGGUCAAGUUCUAUGCUAUGAGACUCCACGGAAACAGUUCCAUCUCCCCCGUGGAGUCUGAACUAGAUCCACUAAAAGGCCAGUUUCAAAGGCCAUCAGAGACCCAGAUGGUGCUUGAACAAAAAUAAAUGGUCAGCGGUAACUCAUCAACCUGGAUUCCCGAGGAAGAAGAGCGCCAGCAAGGCCACCAUCUCAGAACUGGCAAACUGCAAGACUGUCCUCUGGUCUAACCACCACCCCUCUUCCGCGUUCCUGCCACACGGGUGCACCCCUACCUACUGGGACAGGAAUCCCACUACGUUCUUUUCCUCUUACUAAAAGGAUAAACUUUAAACUCUUUUGCUU